GUGAGAGGUAUCCUAAGAAAUAAAGAAAAGAACUAACUACAUCAGGUUAAGAAAAUGUUGUUAGACAUGAGUGGACUCACAAAAAUCCAAAAGCAAACAAACAAAUUUUAUUGAAAGAACCCACAAAAAUGGUAACCAGUCUAAAACAAAUACAGAAAUCAUUUAAGAUUCUCAUUUCUAAAAAGGAACCUUUACAAUUAGACAAAAUAAUUGAAUCAUGAAGCUUCAUUGAGAUAUUUAGAUUGCAAUUAAGCGUUUGGUUUUUUUUGAUGUCGCUG
Molecule: unclassified non-coding RNA, 278 nt
Filed under: Hevea brasiliensis (rubber tree)
Lineage: Eukaryota; Viridiplantae; Streptophyta; Magnoliopsida; Malpighiales; Euphorbiaceae
Source: RNAcentral